Molecule: small nuclear RNA, 105 nt
Organism: Ailuropoda melanoleuca (giant panda)
Lineage: Eukaryota; Metazoa; Chordata; Mammalia; Carnivora; Ursidae
Source: Ensembl
GUGCUCGCUUAGGCAGCACACAUACUAACACGGGAACGGUAGAGAGGAUUAGCACACCCCCUGCCCGAGGAUGACACGCAAAUUCGUGAAGUGUUCCAUGUUUUU